GGGUUGGUAGCUCAGUGGUAGAGCAUCCGGCUUUUAACCGGCUGGUCGAGGGUUCGAAUCCCUCCCAACCCA
RNAcentral lists this transfer RNA (72 nucleotides) under Chloroidium sp. Its description in RNAcentral is "tRNA-Lys". It matches the Rfam family "tRNA". Rfam says of the family: Transfer RNA (tRNA) molecules are approximately 80 nucleotides in length. Their secondary structure includes four short double-helical elements and three loops (D, anti-codon, and T loops). The record is from RNAcentral. RNAcentral also lists the same sequence under 1 other name. Lineage: Eukaryota; Viridiplantae; Chlorophyta; Trebouxiophyceae; Watanabeales; Watanabeaceae.